GAUGAACGCUGGCGGCGUGCUUAACACAUGCAAGUCGAACGAUGAAGCCCAGCUUGCUGGGUGGAUUAGUGGCGAACGGGUGAGUAACACGUGAGUAACCUGCCCUUAACUCUGGGAUAAGUCUGGGAAACUGGGUCUAAUACCGGAUAGGAGCGUCCACCGCAUGGUGGGUGUUGGAAAGAUUUAUCGGUUUUGGAUGGACUCGCGGCCUAUCAGCUUGUUGGUGAGGUAAUGGCUCACCAAGGCGACGACGGGUAGCCGGCCUGAGAGGGUGACCGGCCACACUGGGACUGAGACACGGCCCAGACUCCUACGGGAGGCAGCAGUGGGGAAUAUUGCACAAUGGGCGCAAGCCUGAUGCAGCGACGCCGCGUGAGGGAUGACGGCCUUCGGGUUGUAAACCUCUUUCAGUAGGGAAGAAGCGAAAGUGACGGUACCUGCAGAAGAAGCACCGGCUAACUACGUG
Molecule: ribosomal RNA, 466 nt
Filed under: uncultured bacterium
Lineage: Bacteria
Description: partial 16S ribosomal RNA
Rfam family: Bacterial small subunit ribosomal RNA
Source: RNAcentral